GAUGAAGAACGUAUCGAAAUGCGAUAAGUAAUGUGAAUUGCAGAAUUCCGUGAAUCAUCGAAUCUUUGAACGCACAUUGCGCCCUCUGGUAUUCCGGGGGGCAUGCCUGUCCGAGCGUCAUUUGCAACCCUCAAGCCCGGCUUGUGUGAUGGGUGCCGUCCCCUACGGGACGCGCCCCGAAGGCAAUGGCGGCGUCGCGGUUAUCCGAUCAGCCAAAGUGUAUGGGGCUUUGUCACUCACUUUACGGCCCGGACCGGCGCCAGUCCGAAUCAAUCUUUUUUCUAAAGUUGACCUCGGAUCAGGUAGGGAUACCCGCUGAACUUAAGCAUAUCAAUAAGCGGAGGA
RNAcentral lists this unclassified non-coding RNA (345 nucleotides) under soil metagenome. RNAcentral's name for it is "partial contains 5.8S ribosomal RNA, internal transcribed spacer 2, and large subunit ribosomal RNA". The stretch from base 1 to 120 matches the Rfam family "5.8S ribosomal RNA", at positions 35 to 154 of the family's 154-position model. The record is from RNAcentral.